Molecule: ribosomal RNA, 253 nt
Filed under: uncultured bacterium
Lineage: Bacteria
Description: partial 16S ribosomal RNA
Rfam family: Bacterial small subunit ribosomal RNA
Source: RNAcentral
UACGUAGGGUGCAAGCGUUGUCCGGAAUUAUUGGGCGUAAAGAGCUCGUAGGCGGUCUGUCGCGUCGAAUGUGAAAACCCGGGGCUCAACCCCGGGCCUGCAUUCGAUACGGGCAGACUAGAGUUCGGUAGGGGAGUCUGGAAUUCCUGGUGUAGCGGUGAAAUGCGCAGAUAUCAGGAGGAACACCGGUGGCGAAGGCGGGUCUCUGGGCCGUAACUGACGCUGAGGAGCGAAAGCAUGGGGAGCGAACAGG